Molecule: ribosomal RNA, 491 nt
Filed under: uncultured bacterium
Lineage: Bacteria
Description: partial 16S ribosomal RNA
Rfam family: Bacterial small subunit ribosomal RNA
Source: RNAcentral
AGUGAACGCUGGCGGUAGGCCUAACACAUGCAAGUCGAACGGCAGCACAGUAAGAGCUUGCUCCUACGGUUGGCGAGGGGCGGACGGGUGAGGAAUACAUCGGCAUCUACUUUUUCGUGGGGGAUAACGUAGGGAAACUUACGCUAAUACCGCAUACGUCCUACGGGUGAAAGCAGGGGAUCUUCGGACCUUGCGCGACAGAAAGAGCCGAUGUCGGAUUGGCUGGUUGGCGGGGUAAGGGCCCACCAAGGCGACGAUCCGUAGCUGGCCUGAGAGGAUGAUCCGCACCCCUGGACCUGGGCCCCGGUCCAGCCUCCUACGGGAGGCAGCGGUGGGGAAUCUUCGCCAAUGGGCGCAAGCCUGCGCCAGCCAUACCGCGUAGGUGAAGAAGGCCUUCGGGUUGUAAAGCCCUUUUUUUGGGAAAGAAAAACAUCAGGUUAACACCCCGCUGUUCUGCCGGUACCCAACGAAUAAGCACCGGCUACCUUCGU